This 253-nucleotide ribosomal RNA is filed under the name uncultured bacterium. Its description in RNAcentral is "partial 16S ribosomal RNA". It matches the Rfam family "Bacterial small subunit ribosomal RNA", at positions 524 to 776 of the family's 1533-position model. The record is from RNAcentral.
UACGUAGGGUGCGAGCGUUAAUCGGAAUUACUGGGCGUAAAGCGUGCGCAGGCCGUUUCGUAAGACAGAUGUGAAAUCCCCGGGCUCAACCUGGGAACUGCAUUUGUGACUGCGAGACUAGAGUGUAGCAGAGGGGGGUAGAAUUCCACGUGUAGCAGUGAAAUGCGUAGAGAUGUGGAGGAAUACCGAUGGCGAAGGCAGCCCCCUGGGACGAGACUGACGCUCAUGCACGAAAGCGUGGGGAGCAAACAGG